GCUUCUGAACCUUUACGUUUCAUGGUUCUGGUUGUGCCUGCCACUUCAUCAUAAAUGCUACAAUAGGGCUCAUCUGGUUGUAUCAUCUGACCAACAUAAGGGAGCCCAUCUGAAUCUAUGAUAGACCGCACAGAUGUAUCAAUAUUACUCCUCCUAAACAUCUUCUGACUUCGACUUGAUCUAUUGCCCUGAUCAGACAAGUCAAUUGUUU
This 211-nucleotide unclassified non-coding RNA is filed under the name Hevea brasiliensis (rubber tree). The record is from RNAcentral. Lineage: Eukaryota; Viridiplantae; Streptophyta; Magnoliopsida; Malpighiales; Euphorbiaceae.